UGCCAAGACAGAAACCCAAGAAAGAGGUUUGGAGUUGAGCUGAGUUCUUGGGAACCAAGAGGUUAAGGUCUCAGAGGGAUCCCAACAAGCUGAAAGUCAAGGUUCUGCUAAGGUCAGGAAGCUGACAAGUGACUGGUCUACAGAACGGGACUGGAAAUCUCAAAAGAGGCGGCUUCCUUACAAGAUUCCAAUUCUGACCCAAGAGACACAGACUUUCUCAGGACUCCAGACUGGUUAGUGGCUGCUUUUGUUCCAGUCUGGAAACAAGAAAGGAAAGAAAACUGUCACAAGGAGAAACAACCACUUCUUUCAAGAUACUUUCCAAAUUCUUAUUUCUGGGAGUGGUCAUCUGCAUCUACAUCCAACCAGAAUGGAACCUUAAACCUGGAAGAGGAUUAUCUAACCCAAAUACAUGGGGCCAGAUCCUCAUUGGCUGUUCCAUUUGUGGAGCGAAGAGAAGGGACAGCUGUCACAUUAUGGGAGUUGGGGAUUCCCCUUGUGUAGCAAAAUCCUGAGGUGGCACAAAAAGCCAGUGUAACCAGCUUUAUCCCACUUCUUUGAGAAUUUGAAAGUAGAAGGCAGCUUGGGUGAAAGUGAUUAUGAAAUGAUGAGUUCAUGAUUCUAAGCUAAAAGGAAUGGCAGGAGAUAAUGGAGUUCGAGAAGGCAGACUUUAGCAAACUCAGGGAGUUGGUAGGUAAAAUCCCAUGGGAAGCAAGUCUAAGAGGAAAACAGUUCAAGAGAGUUGGCAGUUUUUCAGAGACAUUGCUAAAGGCACAGGAGCAAACUAUCUCACUGCUUAGGAAAGACAGGAAGCAUGGCAAGAGACCACACUGGCUUAACCAGGAGAUAUUCAAUGAUCUGAAACUCAA
Chelonoidis abingdonii (Abingdon island giant tortoise) is the source of this 869-nucleotide non-coding RNA. The record is from RefSeq and is a predicted model, not a curated record. NCBI's taxonomy places the organism in Eukaryota, Metazoa, Chordata, Testudines, Testudinidae.